UGGCAGUCACGGGUAACGGGGAAUUAGGGUUCGAUUCCGGAGAGGGAGCCUGAGAAAUGGCUACCACUUCUAAGGAAGGCAGCAGGCGCGUAAAUUACCCAAUCCUGAUUCAGGGAGGUAGUGACAAGAAAUAACAACUCGGGUCCCUCACGGGACUGCGAGAUUGCAAUGAGAACAAUUUAAACCACUUAUCAAGGAACAAUUGGAGGGCAAGUCUGGUGCCAGCAGCCGCGGUAAUUCCAGCUCCAAUAGCGUAUAUUAAAGUUGUUGCAGUUAAAAAGCUCGUAGUUGAAUUUCUGGCCAGUCCUGCACUGCGCAGUUUGCCGGUGUAGGGCUUGGUCAUCCGUAGGGGAAUCCAGUUCGGCCUUCACUGGUCGGCUGGUGGAACCUACAAUUUACUGUGAAAAAAUUAGAGUGUUUCAGGCAGGCAAUCGCUUGGAUACUCCAGCAUGGAAUAAUGGAAUAGGACUUUGGUCUAUUUGUUGGUUUGAGAUCAAAGUAAUGAUUAAUAGGGACAGUUGGGGGCAUUCGUAUUUAAUUGUCAGAGGUGAAAUUCUUGGAUUUAUUAAAGACGAACUUAUGCGAAAG
RNAcentral lists this ribosomal RNA (588 nucleotides) under uncultured ciliate. Its description in RNAcentral is "SSU rRNA". It matches the Rfam family "Eukaryotic small subunit ribosomal RNA", at positions 347 to 951 of the family's 1831-position model. The record is from RNAcentral. Lineage: Eukaryota; Ciliophora.